UUAUACAGCGAAACUGCGAAUGGCUCAUUAUAUAAGUUAUCGUUUAUUUGAUAGUACCUUACUACUUGGAUAACCGUGGUAAUUCUAGAGCUAAUACAUGCUAAAAAUCCCGACUUCGGAAGGGAUGUAUUUAUUAGAUUAAAAACCAAUGCCCUCUGGGCUCUUUGGUGAUUCAUGAUAACUUCUCGAAUCGCACGGCCUUGCGCCGGCGAUGGUUCAUUCAAAUUUCUUCCCUAUCAACUUUCGAUGUUUGGGUAUUGGCCAAACAUGGUUGCAACGGGUAACGGAGGGUUAGGGCUCGACCCCGGAGAAGGAGCCUGAGAAACGGCUACUACAUCCAAGGAAGGCAGCAGGCGCGCAAAUUACCCAAUCCCGACACGGGGAGGUAGUGACAAUAAAUACUGAUACAGGGCUCUUUUGGGUCUUGUAAUUGGAAUGAGUACAAUUUAAAUCCCUUAACGAGGAACAAUUGGAGGGCAAGUCUGGUGCCAGCAGCCGCGGUAAUUCCAGCUCCAAUAGCGUAUAUUAAAGUUGUUGUGGUUAAAAAGCUCGUAGUUGAACCUUGGGCCUGGCUGGCCGGUCCGCCUCACCGCGUGUACUGGUCCGGCCGGGCCUUUCCCUCUGUGGAACCUCAUGCCCUUCACUGGGUGUGACGGGGAAACAGGACUUUUACUUUGAAAAAAUUAGAGUGCUCCAGGCAGGCCUAUGCUCGAAUACAUUAGCAUGGAAUAAUAAAAUAGGACGUGUGGUUCUAUUUUGUUGGUUUCUAGGACCGCCGUAAUGAUUAAUAGGGACAGUCGGGGGCAUCAGUAUUCAAUUGUCAGAGGUGAAAUUCUUGGAUUUAUUGAAGACUAACUACUGCGAAAGCAUUUGCCAAGGAUGUUUUCAUUAAUCAGGAACGAAAGUUAGGGGAUCGAAGACGAUCAGAUACCGUCGUAGUCUUAACCAUAAACUAUGCCGACUAGGGAUCGGACGAUGUUAUUUUUUGACGCGUUCGGCACCUUACGAGAAAUCAAAGUGCUUGGGCUCCAGGGG
This 1035-nucleotide ribosomal RNA is filed under the name Parengyodontium album. RNAcentral's name for it is "SSU rRNA". It matches the Rfam family "Eukaryotic small subunit ribosomal RNA", at positions 74 to 1120 of the family's 1831-position model. The record is from RNAcentral. Lineage: Eukaryota; Fungi; Ascomycota; Sordariomycetes; Hypocreales; Cordycipitaceae.